AUCCAACUGACGAGUCCUAAACAGGAAGAAACGUUCGUUCAGGAU
Molecule: non-coding RNA, 45 nt
Filed under: Schistosoma margrebowiei
Lineage: Eukaryota; Metazoa; Platyhelminthes; Trematoda; Strigeidida; Schistosomatidae
Source: RNAcentral